AAAGAUGUUUUGGUUUUAAGCCYAUUGCAGUGUUAAGUACGCUUACCUUCUGGUUUGUUUUUUUUAGUUAAAAUAGUUCCUUCCAGGAGUGAAUUGGGAAGGAAGGCAAAUCAGAUUAUUGCUAUGAUAACAGUUGAUGUGCCAAGACGCCUCAAGGUUUCAAGCUAGGGCAACAACUGAGUAAAUUGUAAUCCUACUUUUUGGAUCUUAAACUGAAACUUAUUGUAGACUUACUACGAGUUUUGGGUUAUGGCAGACGUGUGCUAGCUACUGGAAGAGAGAGAAGAGGGAUUCUGUGAUCUGGAAAUGACGGUACUUCAAAAGCCUCACUUACAGGCUGCAUUGAGAUGUGCGAUUCUUCAGCAUCCUGUGUCUGUGGCGACCUUUGGAGAUAUGCAUCAUUGCCAUUUGAUGCUCCCUGUGGCACAUCUGGAGGAACUGAGCCAGAGUUUCUGGACCCRAUGCAAAGAUACCAAAGAGCUGAAUGGCAGCAAAAACAUGUGUUCAGAGAACGAGCUUCUUCAGAGCUCCUCUUAAAUACUUCAAAUUAUGUGUGGAAAACAGCUCUCCAGGAAACCUGCUGUAUUAAACAUCAUAGAAAGUGGGAGCAGGAAGACAAAGCAGCCCUGUGGAAAGAUGUUUCAGCAAAGGUUGUUUCUGAACACACUGUGCCUGUCCAACACUGGUGUUGCUCGUUGAAAGACCAGAGCAAUAAUUACAGCUUGUGUCCCUCUUCUACACUGCUCGGAUCGCUUCACUGUUCUUUGCUUCUGCAUCUGUAAAAUGGAUGUAGUUGAGCACUCACCUCUCUGUUUAAAGCCCUCUAAGAUCUAAUGAUAAGUAAAAUACAACAAUUGGGUGUGUGUUUUUGUGAGGAAAGGGUUUAAUGAAGUGCUAAUAUUGCAAAAUAGGUGUUGGAUUCUCAACUGAGAAGCCUAAUUAUUGUCCAGGAUGGGCAGCUGACCAAAGGGGCUUUAAAAGCACGGGCUUGUUCUUUCUGCGAUGCUUAUCAGCCUACCCCUGUGCCUGCCUGAUUCUUUGCACAAGGACUGAAAACAGAAAUGCUCUUUGACAGCUUAAAUAACCAAAUUUAGAAUGUGGCUUCCUGUUCUGACUGGUUCUUCAGGAUUCGAGUAUAGUUUUGCAUGACUUCUCUGUUCUUGCCUUCUCCCCCCCUUUUCUUUAAAACCAGAUAUGGGCUCCUUUCUAAUUACUUUGUUAAUUUUCCUUUAUUGGGUGUAAUAAAGCUGGUGUAUGUAACUGCUGCCUUGGUGGG
This 1276-nucleotide long non-coding RNA is filed under the name Dromaius novaehollandiae (emu). Its description in RNAcentral is "lncRNA (ENSDNVG00000001473.1)". Lineage: Eukaryota; Metazoa; Chordata; Aves; Casuariiformes; Dromaiidae. The record is from RNAcentral.